GUGCCAGCAGCCGCGGUAAUACGAAGGGGGCAAGCGUUGCUCGGAAUGACUGGGCGUAAAGGGAGUGCAGGCGGUUUAUAGCUGUUGGGUGUGAAAUUUUGGGGCUUAACCCUGAAACUGCAUUCAAGACGUGUAUACUAGAGUAUGUGAGAGGAUAGUGGAAUUCCCAGUGUAGAGGUGAAAUUCGUAGAUAUUGGGAAGAACACCGGUUGCGAAGGCGGCUAUCUGGUGCAUUACUGACGCUGAGGCGCGAAAGCGUGGGGAGCAAACAGGAUUAGAUACCCGGGUAGUCC
RNAcentral lists this ribosomal RNA (293 nucleotides) under uncultured Acetobacteraceae bacterium. RNAcentral's name for it is "partial 16S ribosomal RNA". It matches the Rfam family "Bacterial small subunit ribosomal RNA", at positions 505 to 796 of the family's 1533-position model. Lineage: Bacteria; Pseudomonadati; Pseudomonadota; Alphaproteobacteria; Acetobacterales; Acetobacteraceae. The record is from RNAcentral.